CAGCCGCCGCGGUAAUACGGAGGGUGCAAGCGUUAAUCGGAAUUACUGGGCGUAAAGCGCACGCAGGCGGUUUGUUAAGUCAGAUGUGAAAUCCCCGAGCUUAACCUGGGAACUGCACUUGAAACUGGCAAGCUAGAGUCUUGUAGAGGGGGGUAGAAUUCCAGGUGUGGCGGUGAAAUGCGUAGAGAUCGGGAGGAACAUCAGUGGCGAAGGCGGCCAUCUGGGACAACACUGACGCUGAGGCACGAAAGCGUGGGGAGCAAACAGGAUUAGAUACCCCUGUAGUCCCUGUCUCUUAUAC
RNAcentral lists this ribosomal RNA (301 nucleotides) under uncultured bacterium. Its description in RNAcentral is "partial 16S ribosomal RNA". It matches the Rfam family "Bacterial small subunit ribosomal RNA", at positions 509 to 807 of the family's 1533-position model. The record is from RNAcentral.